AAACAAGAAGCAAACAUUGCAAUCAGUUUCGACCUGAUCAUUAGAUGUACCCAACCAUCCUUGUUUU
RNAcentral lists this transfer RNA (67 nucleotides) under Schedorhinotermes breinli. RNAcentral describes it as "tRNA-Arg". The record is from RNAcentral. RNAcentral also lists the same sequence under 2 other names. Lineage: Eukaryota; Metazoa; Arthropoda; Insecta; Blattodea; Rhinotermitidae.